CUCUCUCUCUCUCUCCCCCAUCUGCAUGUUGCCUGCGAGUCCCUAGACGCAGCAGCAGCAGCACCGGAGCACGGAGAGGAAUUAGAAGGAAGGACGCUCUGCUUUCCCCUCUGCUUGCCUGGAGGGGAGGGGUUUUCUCUGCUCUUUGUUCCGUUUGAGCAAACACAGUAACGAAACAGAAGAGGGUGGGCAGUAAGACCCUGAGGCAGAAUGCAGGAAAGCAACAGCUUUCUCUCUCGGGAGGCUCGAACGCACGUGUGGCUGCCUGCAAUCAGUUUACCACACCGAGAAUGAAGAUAAACUGGUAAAAUAAGGGGGCUGGGUUAAAGCUAAAGGGAAAACCUCAAAGAUCCCUCAAGAACAAGGCAGGGGUUCAGGGCUCCCAAAGCCGAGCUGCAGCCUUAGAAGGGAAAAAUGGGGCUUUCGGAGGUGGUUUUACUGCCCCGCUGCUUCCAAUUUUUUAAAAGGCAAAUUGCAGGAGAAGAUGCAGCAGUCAGUCACUCUCUCACUCCCUCCAAGCACCCACGCUAGCGAACAAACACACAGGCAACCACACACUCACAAAGCACACACACUAGCAAACACACAGUCGCGCUG
Molecule: non-coding RNA, 597 nt
Organism: Podarcis lilfordi (Lilford's wall lizard)
Lineage: Eukaryota; Metazoa; Chordata; Lepidosauria; Squamata; Lacertidae
Source: the annotation of a GenBank genome assembly